Molecule: ribosomal RNA, 483 nt
Filed under: uncultured bacterium
Lineage: Bacteria
Description: partial 16S ribosomal RNA
Rfam family: Bacterial small subunit ribosomal RNA
Source: RNAcentral
UUGAACGCUGGCGGCAGGCCUAACACAUGCAAGUCGAGCGGAUGAAGGGAGCUUGCUCCUGGAUUCAGCGGCGGACGGGUGAGUAAUGCCUAGGAAUCUGCCUGGUAGUGGGGGAUAACGUCCGGAAACGGGCGCUAAUACCGCAUACGUCCUGAGGGAGAAAGUGGGGGAUCUUCGGACCUCACGCUAUCAGAUGAGCCUAGGUCGGAUUAGCUAGUUGGUGGGGUAAAGGCCUACCAAGGCGACGAUCCGUAACUGGUCUGAGAGGAUGAUCAGUCACACUGGAACUGAGACACGGUCCAGACUCCUACGGGAGGCAGCAGUGGGGAAUAUUGGGCAAUGGGCGAAAGCCUGAUCCAGCCAUGCCGCGUGUGUGAAGAAGGUCUUCGGAUUGUAAAGCACUUUAAGUUGGGAGGAAGGGCAGUAAGUUAAUACCUUGCUGUUUUGACGUUACCAACAGAAUAAGCACCGGCUAACUUCGUG